This is a long non-coding RNA of Anneissia japonica, 497 nucleotides long. RefSeq lists it as uncharacterized. The record is from RefSeq and is a predicted model, not a curated record. NCBI's taxonomy places the organism in Eukaryota, Metazoa, Echinodermata, Crinoidea, Comatulida, Comatulidae. The transcript has 3 exons.
UUCUGAAACGAGACACAUACGGGUUCUACUAGCAUGCCGUGACUUAGUGCUUAAUGGUUUUGCAUCAUCGACGUUACAUUGUGAUUCAAAUAGAUCUAAGUGACUGUAUUUGGCUUACAUAUUUUCGCUAGAUCGAAUAGGAUUUGGAAAAGGGUUUAUUGCUACAAUGUUGGUGGACCUUCAGUUCCUUUCGGUGGCUACAAACAGUCUGGGUUUGGCAGAGACCUGCGGCAAGGUUUCUUGACAGUUCAUUGCAGCCACUGUAGUUUCUUCAUAAUAAUUGGGACAGCAAUGUACGGAGCCUUCAAAGGGUUUAUAGAAGAAGCGUUGCAUAUGCUAUAGCUCUGAUAUUUUAAAUAAAGUAAUGAGGAUAGAAACACUGCUCAAGUAAAGGAAGGAACAAUUAUGUUAUUUACUUAUCAAGCAUAGGUGUCUUUUAAUUUUUUUUAAAAAUCAAGGCUAGCCUUAACAAUUUGUAUGUAAACUGUGUCAAUUUA